Long non-coding RNA from Sander lucioperca (pikeperch), 244 nucleotides. RefSeq lists it as uncharacterized. The transcript is spliced from 3 exons. The record is from RefSeq and is a predicted model, not a curated record. NCBI's taxonomy places the organism in Eukaryota, Metazoa, Chordata, Actinopteri, Perciformes, Percidae.
UUUAGGAAAAAAGAAAGGCCUGCCCAGCGAGCUUUUGGCUGAGCUUUACGUCAGACAAAGACCACUGAGCCAACACACAUCAGGUGCCUAUGUCUUCGGGGACUGCCUGUCAUCUUGGCGGAUGAUUCUUCUGCCUUCUUCAAGACAUGCUCUGAUGUAACUGACAAGGACUCGUACAGUUAAACUCCAGUGGGAAUUCUCUGCCUGGGUUGAGAAAAUACCCAGCUCAACCCAUUCAGUGUAU